This 352-nucleotide ribosomal RNA is filed under the name uncultured bacterium. RNAcentral's name for it is "bacterial SSU rRNA". It matches the Rfam family "Bacterial small subunit ribosomal RNA", at positions 444 to 793 of the family's 1533-position model. The record is from RNAcentral.
GGUGUAUAGUUAAUAGCAUUACACUGUGACGUUAGCUACAGAAGAAGCACCGGCAAACUCCGUGCCAGCAGCCGCGGUAAUACGGAGGGUGCGAGCGUUAAUCGGAAUUACUGGGCGUAAAGCGCGCGUAGGCGGUUAUUUAAGUGAGGUGUGAAAUCCCUGGGCUCAACCUAGGAACUGCAUUUCAAACUGGAUAACUUGAGUAUGUCAGAGGGUAUUGGAAUUUCCCCGUGUAGCAGUGAAAUGCGUAGAUAUGGGAAGGAACAUCAGUGGCGAAGGCGAAUACCUGGGAUAAUACUGACGCUGAGGUGCGAAAGCGUGGGGAGCAAACGGGAUUAGAUACCCCUGGUAG